ACGGAGGGUGCAAGCGUUAAUCGGAAUUACUGGGCGUAAAGGGUACGUAGGCUGUUAAAUAAGUUGGAUGUGAAAUCCCUGGGCUCAACCUAGGAACUGCAUCCAAAACUGUUUAGCUAGAGUGUAUAAGAGGUUAGCGGAAUUCCAGGUGUAGCAGUGAAAUGCGUAGAUAUCUGGAGGAACAUCAGUGGCGAAGGCGGCUAACUGGUAUAACACUGACGCUGAGGUACGAAAGCGUGGGGAGCGAACGGG
Molecule: ribosomal RNA, 252 nt
Filed under: uncultured bacterium
Lineage: Bacteria
Description: partial 16S ribosomal RNA
Rfam family: Bacterial small subunit ribosomal RNA
Source: RNAcentral